GCUCACUUUGGCAGCACAUAUACUAAAAUUGGAAUGUCCCAGAGAAGGUUAGGACGGCCCCUCUGCAAGAAUGAUACACAAAUUCAUGAAGCAUUCCAUAUAUAU
Molecule: small nuclear RNA, 105 nt
Organism: Lutra lutra (Eurasian river otter)
Lineage: Eukaryota; Metazoa; Chordata; Mammalia; Carnivora; Mustelidae
Source: RefSeq, a predicted model, not a curated record